RNAcentral lists this ribosomal RNA (327 nucleotides) under uncultured Rickettsiales bacterium 'Montezuma'. RNAcentral describes it as "bacterial SSU rRNA". It matches the Rfam family "Bacterial small subunit ribosomal RNA", at positions 272 to 616 of the family's 1533-position model. Lineage: Bacteria; Pseudomonadati; Pseudomonadota; Alphaproteobacteria; Rickettsiales. The record is from RNAcentral.
GGCUACGAUCUUUAGCUGGUCUGAGAGGAUGAUCAGCCACACUGGAACUGAGACACGGUCCAGACUCCUACGGGAGGCAGCAGUGGGGAAUAUUGGACAAUGGGCGAAAGCCUGAUCCAGCGACGCCGCGUGAGUGAAGAAGGCCUUCGGGUUGUAAAGCUCUUUCGGUAGGGAAGAUAAUGACGGUACCUACAAAAGAAGCUCCGGCUAACUUCGUGCCAGCAGCCGCGGUAAUACGAAGGGAGCUAGCGUUACUCGGAAUUAUUGGGCGUAAAGCGUACGUAGGCGGCUUAGUAAGUUGGGAGUGAAAUCCUUGGGCUUAACCCA